RNAcentral lists this ribosomal RNA (425 nucleotides) under uncultured bacterium. RNAcentral describes it as "bacterial SSU rRNA". It matches the Rfam family "Bacterial small subunit ribosomal RNA", at positions 355 to 796 of the family's 1533-position model. The record is from RNAcentral.
UCGAGAAUAUUCGACAAUGGGCGAAAGCCUGAUCGAGCGACGCCGCGUGUAGGAUGAAGGCCUUCGGGUUGUAAACUACGGUAGUAUGGUAACAAUGCAAAUGAGUGCCAUACGGAAAGAGGUUGGUAACUACGUGCCAGCACCCGCGGUAAAACGUAGACCUCAAGCGUUAUCCGGAUUUAUUGGGCGUAAAGCGCAUGUAGGAGGUUUUGUGCGUCUUCUGUUAAAGCCCACCGCCCAACGGUGGAAGUGCAGGAGAUACGACAUGACUAGAGGAGGUUAGAGGUGCAUGGAACUCACGGUGUAGGGGUGAAAUCCGUUGAUAUCGUGGGGAACACCAAAGGCGAAGGCAGUGCACUGGGACCUUCCUGACUCUGAGAUGCGAAAGCGUGGGGAGCAAAAAGGAUUAGAUACCCCCGUAGUCC